AUGCGUUUUGUGCGGCGCAUCCAAGAGUCUGAGGUGAAGGAGGCUUUAAAAAGGAUGAAAGGAGGCAAGGCGAUGGGCCCUGAUUGUAUCCCCAUUGAGGUGUGGAAAGGUCUCGGGGACAUAGCGAUAGUAUGGCUAACCAAGCUUUUCAACCUCAUUUUUCGGGCAAACAAGAUGCCAGAAGAAUGGAGACGGAGUAUAUUAGUACCAAUCUUCAAGAACAAGGGGGAUGUUCAGAGUUGUACUAAUUACCGUGGAAUUAAGCUGAUGAGCCGUACAAUGAAGCUAUGGGAGAGAGUCAUUGAGCACCGCUUAAGAAGAAUGACAAGCGUGACCAAAAAUCAGUUUGGUUUCAUGCCUGGGAGGUCGACCAUGGAAGCCAUUUUCUUGGUAUGA
RNAcentral lists this ribosomal RNA (396 nucleotides) under Triticum aestivum (bread wheat). RNAcentral's name for it is "partial small subunit ribosomal RNA". The record is from RNAcentral. Lineage: Eukaryota; Viridiplantae; Streptophyta; Magnoliopsida; Poales; Poaceae.